CGAUGGAGGGACGCAGGAGGCUAGCAGCGCGUGGUGCUGGAUACCACGUUCAAGCGUCAAGUCUGAGAGCGAGUCAAAUGCUUGCUCUCAUAAGGACAAGGCGUGAUGAGGAGCGAAAUUAAAGUAGCGAAGGCUGCGACGUCACACUGCCGAGAAAAGCUUCUAGCCAGAGACGGUGCACCCGUACCGCAAACCGACACAGGUAGUCGAGGAGAGUAUCCUCAGGUGAGCGAGAGAACUCUCGUUAAGGAACUCGGCAAAAUGGCCCCG
Molecule: ribosomal RNA, 270 nt
Filed under: Lactobacillus delbrueckii subsp. bulgaricus
Lineage: Bacteria; Bacillati; Bacillota; Bacilli; Lactobacillales; Lactobacillaceae
Description: partial 23S ribosomal RNA
Rfam family: Bacterial large subunit ribosomal RNA
Source: RNAcentral